Ochotona princeps (American pika) is the source of this 623-nucleotide long non-coding RNA. RefSeq lists it as uncharacterized. Lineage: Eukaryota; Metazoa; Chordata; Mammalia; Lagomorpha; Ochotonidae. The transcript is spliced from 3 exons. The record is from RefSeq and is a predicted model, not a curated record.
GGAGUGACAUCUUCCAUCCCACACUUCACUCCCCAAAUGGCCCCAGGGGCCGGAGCCGAGCUGAUCAAAGCCAGGAGCUUCUUCCGGGCCUCCCACGUGAGCGCAGGGUCACAAGGCCUUGGGCCAUUCUCCACUGCUUUCCAAGGCACAGGCAGGUAACUAGAUUGCAAGUGGAGCGUCCAGGACUCAAACCAGCACCCUUACAGGAUGGCAGUCCUGCAGGCAGAAGAUCGGCAUGCCGCGUCACCACACUGGCCCUGGCUAUCGUGGAGGAGCCGCUGAUGGGGGAAGAGGAGCCAGCAUCCUGUCAGACUGCCCAGCAGGAAGGCCUGGAGGCUGCGCAGACCCUGGAACCACAAGCUACCGGCCACACCUCGGAGGAUUCGGCUGUGACGCUCAGGGUCCUGCUGGCCUACAGGUGCUGGAGGCUGUGGAUCAGCGUCCUGGCCUGUUGCUGAAAGAUGGAGAGACUGCAAGCAACACGGCCUCUGUCCACGAGGGGCCUGGCUCACGAUGCCCUGGGCCCUUGGGUGCGUGGAAGGCGAGGGAAAGGUUUCUCCACUCUGUAGGUCCAGGUUUUGGCAGAGGCCAGGAUGGGGCCUUUUCAUGGCUGGAGGGAAGCA